This 253-nucleotide ribosomal RNA is filed under the name uncultured bacterium. RNAcentral describes it as "partial 16S ribosomal RNA". It matches the Rfam family "Bacterial small subunit ribosomal RNA", at positions 524 to 776 of the family's 1533-position model. The record is from RNAcentral.
UACGUAGGGUGCAAGCGUUAAUCGGAAUUACUGGGCGUAAAGCGUGCGCAGGCGGCUAUGCAAGACAGAUGUGAAAUCCCCGGGCUCAACCUGGGAACUGCAUUUGUGACUGCAUCGCUGGAGUGCGGCAGAGGGGGACGGAAUUCCGCGUGUAGCAGUGAAAUGCUUAGAUAUGACAUAGAACACCUAUUGCGAAGGCAGCUUACUACGCAGAUAUUGACGCUCAUGCACGAAAGCGUGGGGAUCAAACAGG